Molecule: ribosomal RNA, 527 nt
Filed under: Orisarma intermedium
Lineage: Eukaryota; Metazoa; Arthropoda; Malacostraca; Decapoda; Sesarmidae
Description: partial 16S ribosomal RNA
Rfam family: Bacterial large subunit ribosomal RNA
Source: RNAcentral
GUCUGUUUGAAGGUAUAAACAGUCUAGCCUGCCCACUGAUAAAUAUUAAAUGGCCGCGGUAUCUUGACCGUGCAAAGGUAGCAUAAUCGUUAGUUUCUUAAUUAGGAUCUUGUAUGAAUGGUUGGACGAAAGAAAAACUGUCUUUAUAAUUAAAAUAGAAUUUAACUUUUAAGUGAAAAGGCUUAAAUAUAUUAAAGGGACGAUAAGACCCUAUAAAGCUUUAUAUAAUUGAGUAUUAAAUUAAAUUUUAACAAAUAUAAAAAUUUAAUGUAAAAAUUAUGUUUCAUUGGGGCGAUGAAAGUAAAAUGAAUAAUAACUGCUUUAUUUUAAACCAUUAAUAUAUGAAUAAUAUGAGACUUAAAAGAUCCUUACAUAAAGAUUUUAAGAUUAAGUUACUUUAGGGAUAACAGCGUUAUUUUUUUUGAGAGUUCUUAUCGAAAAAAAAGUUUGCGACCUCGAUGUUGAAUUAAAAUUUCUCUAUAAUUGUAGGUGUUAUAGAAGAAGGUCUGUUCGACCUUUAAAUUUUU